This 195-nucleotide ribosomal RNA is filed under the name Clostridioides difficile. RNAcentral's name for it is "partial 23S ribosomal RNA". It matches the Rfam family "Bacterial large subunit ribosomal RNA", at positions 1 to 194 of the family's 2925-position model. Lineage: Bacteria; Bacillati; Bacillota; Clostridia; Peptostreptococcales; Peptostreptococcaceae. The record is from RNAcentral.
UGGUCAAGUUAUUAAGGGGGCAGGGCGGAUGCCUUGGCACUAGGAGCCGAUGAAGGACGUGAUAAGCUGCGAUAAGCUUCGGGGAGUUGCACGUAAACUUUGAUCCGAAGAUUUCCGAAUGAGGAAACUCACUUAGAGUAAUGUCUAAGUAUCAUUAAGUGAAUACAUAGCUUAAUGAGGGGAACUCAGGGAACU